UGGAAAUGAUCUAAGCCACGUGCAACACC
This 29-nucleotide small RNA is filed under the name Bombyx mori (domestic silkworm). Its description in RNAcentral is "ovarian small RNA-1557". Lineage: Eukaryota; Metazoa; Arthropoda; Insecta; Lepidoptera; Bombycidae. The record is from RNAcentral.